CUACGUGAAGUCGGAGUCGCUAGUAAUCGCAGAUCAGCAACGCUGCGGUGAAUACGUUCCCGGGCCUUGUACACACCGCCCGUCAAGUCACGAAAGUCGGUAACACCCGAAGCCGGUGGCCCAACCCUUGUGGAGGGGGCCGUCUAAGGUGGGACUGGCAAUUGGGACUAAGUCGUAACAAGGUAGCCGUACCGGAAGGUGCGGCUGGAUCACCUCCUUUCU
This 222-nucleotide ribosomal RNA is filed under the name Brevibacterium sp. 239c. RNAcentral describes it as "partial 16S rRNA. Bacterial SSU". It matches the Rfam family "Bacterial small subunit ribosomal RNA", at positions 1316 to 1533 of the family's 1533-position model. The record is from RNAcentral. Lineage: Bacteria; Bacillati; Actinomycetota; Actinomycetes; Micrococcales; Brevibacteriaceae.